RNA transcript from Pantherophis guttatus, 3667 nucleotides. It is a transcript of the gene named MIB E3 ubiquitin protein ligase 1, with no coding region annotated. Lineage: Eukaryota; Metazoa; Chordata; Lepidosauria; Squamata; Colubridae. The record is from RefSeq and is a predicted model, not a curated record.
CCCCGUGCGCCCUACCUCCACUACCGCGGCCGGAAUGGCGAUAUCGCCGUAGUGCCCGGAUGUAGCAGCCGAAGCGUCAGGUUCGCCCCCUCCCCUUUCGAACCUGCAUAAAGCGCGGCCAGCUUCUCCGGGUUGGGCGACACCAUUUGAGGGGAGGGGGGUGUUGUGGGAGGGGGAAAGGCUGUACGUCGUGAACGCUGCGCUCCGCUGGCGGAGGCCGCAUCCCAUCCACCCCGCGGGAGGAGACCGGCCGGCCGGUCGGCUGGCUGUCUGGCUUCCCUUUUCAGGUCUUUUGUUGUUCCGGCGUUUCUGGGAAGGCAUCCCCUACGGCCUCGGUUUCCCCGUUAUUGGCGUCAGCGAAUAACCCGGCCUCGUCGCUGCACCGCGAGGGACGCCCCGGCGAGCUGAGUAACAAUGAGCAAUUCGAGGAACAACCGAGUGAUGGUGGAGGGCGUCGGUGCCCGCGUCGUGAGGGGCCCCGACUGGAAAUGGGGCAAGCAGGAUGGCGGCGAGGGCCAUGUGGGCACCGUGCGCAGUUUCGAAAGCCCCGAGGAGGUGGUGGUGGUCUGGGACAACGGCACGGCCGCCAAUUACCGCUGCUCGGGAGCCUAUGACCUGCGCAUCCUCGACAGCGCGCCCACAGGUAUUAAACAUGAUGGGACUAUGUGCGAUACUUGUCGCCAGCAACCAAUAAUUGGUAUUCGAUGGAAAUGUGCGGAAUGUACAAAUUAUGAUUUAUGCACAGUAUGUUAUCAUGGGGAUAAACAUCAUCUAAGACACCGCUUUUACAGAAUAACCACACCUGGAAGUGAAAGGGUAUUACUGGAAUCUCGCCGUAAAUCAAAGAAAAUUACUGCAAGAGGAAUCUUUACAGGUGCCAGGGUGGUACGAGGAGUUGAUUGGCAAUGGGAAGAUCAGGAUGGUGGCAAUGGACGCAGGGGCAAAGUAACUGAAAUCCAAGACUGGAGUGCAUCAAGUCCACAUAGUGCAGCAUAUGUUUUAUGGGACAAUGGAGCUAAAAACCUUUACAGAGUUGGCUUUGAGGGCAUGUCAGACCUUAAAUGUGUCCAGGAUUCAAAAGGAGGAUCCUUCUAUCGAGACCACUGUCCUGUGCUUGGAGAACAGAAUGGCAACCGAAAUCCUGGUGGUUUACAGAUUGGUGAUUUAGUGAACAUUGAUCUUGACUUAGAAAUUGUUCAGUCAUUGCAACAUGGGCAUGGAGGAUGGACUGAUGGAAUGUUUGAAACCUUAACAACUACUGGCACAGUUUGUGGAAUAGAUGAAGACCAUGACAUUGUUGUACAAUAUCCAAGUGGGAAUAGAUGGACCUUUAACCCUGCUGUUCUUACUAAAGCCAAUGUUGUCCGAAGUGGAGAUGGUGUGCAAGGUGCUGAAGGUGGUGCUUCACAAUUUCAAGUGGGUGAUCUUGUCCAAGUUUGUUAUGACUUAGAAAGAAUUAAGUUGCUUCAAAGGGGACAUGGUGAAUGGGCUGAAGCAAUGCUUCCUACCCUAGGUAAAGUUGGAAGGGUCCAGCAGAUCUACUCGGAUAGUGACUUAAAAGUAGAGGUUUGUGGAACGUCUUGGACAUAUAAUCCCGCUGCUGUGUCAAAGGUAGCAUCAGCAGGAUCAGCUAUAAGCAAUGCAUCUGGCGAGAGAUUGUCCCAGUUACUGAAGAAAUUAUUUGAAACUCAAGAAUCUGGGGAUCUUAAUGAGGAGCUAGUUAAAGCAGCUGCUAAUGGAGAUGUAGCAAAAGUGGAAGAUUUGCUUAAAAGACCUGAUGUGGAUGUGAAUGGACAAUGCGCUGGACACACUGCUAUGCAAGCUGCAAGUCAAAAUGGACAUGUUGACAUUUUGAAAUUGCUUCUGAAACAGAAUGUGGAUGUAGAAGCAGAGGACAAAGAUGGAGACAGGGCUGUUCAUCAUGCAGCCUUUGGUGAUGAAGGAGCUGUGAUAGAAGUUUUACAUAGAGGCAGUGCAGAUCUCAAUGCUCGCAAUAAGCGUAGACAGACACCACUUCAUAUUGCUGUGAAUAAAGGUCAUCUCCAAGUUGUGAAGACAUUACUGGACUUUGGUUGCCAUCCUAGUCUCCAGGAUUCUGAGGGUGAUACUCCUCUGCAUGACGCAAUAAGCAAAAAGCGUGAUGACAUUUUAGCAGUCCUCCUGGAAGCUGGAGCAGAUGUUACUAUUACAAAUAACAAUGGAUUUAAUGCUCUUCAUCAUGCUGCAUUAAGGGGAAAUCCAAGUGCAAUGAGAGUGUUACUGUCUAAGCUUCCAAGACCAUGGAUUGUAGAUGAAAAAAAAGAUGACGGAUACACUGCUUUGCAUUUGGCAGCACUUAAUAAUCAUGUAGAAGUAGCAGAACUUUUGGUACAUCAGGGCACAGCUAACUUGGAUAUUCAGAAUGUAAAUCAACAAACUGCACUGCACCUUGCUGUUGAAAGACAGCACACUCAAAUAGUGCGGCUUCUAGUUCGUGCAGGUGCUAAAUUAGAUAUUCAGGAUAAAGAUGGAGAUACUCCCCUGCAUGAGGCCCUGCGACAUCAUACUUUGUCGCAGCUUCGCCAGCUCCAAGACAUGCAAGAUGUGGGCAAGGUAGAUACAGCUUGGGAGCCCUCCAAGAAUACAUUGAUAAUGGGAUUGGGUACUCAGGGAGCAGAGAAGAAAAGUGCAGCAUCUAUUGCCUGUUUCCUGGCAGCCAAUGGAGCUGACCUUGGUAUUCGUAACAAGAAGGGUCAAUCACCCCUUGACUUAUGUCCUGAUCCUAGCCUCUGUAAAGCAUUGGCUAAAUGCCACAAAGAAAAAAUCAGUGGACAGGUUGGUUCCCGGAGUCCUUCUAUGAUCAGCAAUGAUUCCGAAACCCUAGAAGAAUGUAUGGUAUGUUCUGAUAUGAAGAGAGAUACUCUAUUUGGUCCAUGUGGGCACAUUGCUACUUGUUCCUUGUGUUCACCAAGAGUCAAGAAAUGCCUCAUUUGCAAAGAGCAUGUUCAAUCAAGAACAAAGAUUGAAGAAUGUGUUGUAUGCUCAGAUAAAAAAGCUGCCGUACUCUUUCAGCCUUGUGGACACAUGUGUGCUUGUGAAAAUUGUGCCAGCCUUAUGAAAAAAUGUGUGCAAUGUCGGGCAGUGGUAGAACGAAGAGUUCCUUUUAUUAUGUGCUGUGGUGGGAAAGGUACCGAAGAUACCAUUGAUGACAUUACAAGUGGAAACAUUCCUGUAAUGCAGAAGGAUAAGGAUAAUACUAAUGUCAAUGCUGAUGUGCAGAAAUUACAGCAGCAGUUGCAAGACAUAAAGGAACAGAUUCCGUAAAACAUCAGGGAUUUGUGCAGGCAGUCGCCAGGAGUCAACACUAACUCAAUGGGGAAGUGAGGAAGUUCUACCGUGAUGCUACUGCUUGGGGAAGUAUCCAUCAUGAUAAUGCCCAUAUCUAUUUAUCCCUCAUUCUCUCUGCCCAUUUCUGCUUUAGUGCAUAGUCACCUUCAGCAGUUGUAACCGCCCUGGUAUAAUACCAUGUGCCCUGUAUGCUUGGACCGCCUGAAGAAUAUGAUCUUUCUCUGCGGUCAUGGAACCUGUCAGCUUUGUGGGGAUCGAAUGAGUGAAUGUCCUAUCUGUCGAAAGGCUAUUGAACGAAGAAUUCUUUUGUAUUAAAAUGUCAAGUGACUUAUGCUUGUGA